GUGGUCGUGCAGGAGUGGUUAUCGGGCAUGAUUAAAAAUCAUGUGGGCUUUGUCCGGGCAGAUUCGAAUCCUGCCGACCACG
Molecule: transfer RNA, 82 nt
Filed under: Zingiber officinale
Lineage: Eukaryota; Viridiplantae; Streptophyta; Magnoliopsida; Zingiberales; Zingiberaceae
Description: tRNA-Phe
Rfam family: tRNA
About the family: Transfer RNA (tRNA) molecules are approximately 80 nucleotides in length. Their secondary structure includes four short double-helical elements and three loops (D, anti-codon, and T loops).
Source: RNAcentral